GGAUGUGAGGGCGAUCUGGCUGCAACAUCUGUCACCCCAUUGAUCGCCAGGGUUGAUUCGGCUGAUCUGGCUGGCUAGGCGGGUGUCCCCUUCCUCCCUCACCGCUCCAUGUGCGUCCCUCCCGAAGCUGCACGCUCGGUUGAAGAGGACGACCUUCUCCGAUAGAAGGAAGACCGUCCUUCGGUCAAGGGUAUACGAGUAGCUGUGCUCCCCUGCUAGAACCUCCAAACAAGUCUCAAGAGGGACACAAAACUAUAUGGUGUUAUAACAAAGAGUUUUAGAAUAUUAAUUAAAAAGAUACUAAAU
RNAcentral lists this small nuclear RNA (306 nucleotides) under Echinops telfairi (small Madagascar hedgehog). RNAcentral describes it as "7SK RNA (ENSETEG00000021089.1)". It matches the Rfam family "7SK RNA". From Rfam's summary of the family: 7SK was discovered as an abundant small nuclear RNA in the mid-70s but a possible function has only recently been suggested. Two independent studies have found that 7SK RNA binds the CDK9/cyclin T complex (known as elongation factor P-TEFb). The record is from RNAcentral. Lineage: Eukaryota; Metazoa; Chordata; Mammalia; Afrosoricida; Tenrecidae.